AGGGCACCAGUUAAACUUUAGAAGAUCAAAUUAAACAGAAGAAACAAUAAAAUGAUCAAAAGAGCAAAAACAGAUAAAGUGUUUUCUAGUCUGAAAUGAAAACAUCAAGUUGUUUCUUCAAACAUUUCCUCUUUCUAUGUUCUUGGUUUGAUUAUGGACAGAUUUACUAAGAACUCAUUUGAGAAAACUGCUUUCCAGAUAAAGUCUACUAGUAGUUGAAGGCAUUUAUCAAACUAAUGUUACCUUCUGAUCUCCACAAACUUUACUGUUCAGUGAAGAGAAUCAAAGUUUGUUGAGGAUUUCUAAAAAACCCACAGGUGAAGGUCUGAGAAGAACUCAGAUGGAUGGUCUAAAUGUGAAAUCAAGACUCAUGGUCACAAGUUUUAAGGCUUCUGUUAACCAUAAAGUUCAAACUAACAGAGAAGUACUGAGAAACUUUUAAAAUUUCAGUCCUCAGACUGUCUGAAGGUUCAAACUAACAGAGAUCUACUCAGGAACUUAGAAGAUAUCAGUCCUCAGACUGUCUGAAGGUUCAAACUAACAGAGAACUACUCA
This is a long non-coding RNA of Amphiprion ocellaris (clown anemonefish), 555 nucleotides long. NCBI's taxonomy places the organism in Eukaryota, Metazoa, Chordata, Actinopteri, Pomacentridae. The record is from Ensembl.